This 274-nucleotide ribosomal RNA is filed under the name uncultured bacterium. RNAcentral's name for it is "partial 16S ribosomal RNA". It matches the Rfam family "Bacterial small subunit ribosomal RNA", at positions 523 to 796 of the family's 1533-position model. The record is from RNAcentral.
ACACGGAGGUUGCGAGCGUUAAUCGGAAUUACUGGGCGUAAAGCGCGCGUAGGCGGUUUGGUCAGUCGGAUGUGAAAGCCCCAGGCUCAACCUGGGAAUGGCAUUCGAUACUGCCUGACUAGAGUAUGGUAGAGGGAAGUGGAAUUUCCGGUGUAGCGGUGAAAUGCGUAGAUAUCGGAAGGAACACCAGUGGCGAAGGCGACUUCCUGGGCCAAUACUGACGCUGAGGUGCGAAAGCGUGGGGAGCAAACAGGAUUAGAAACCCCAGUAGUCC